RNAcentral lists this ribosomal RNA (773 nucleotides) under Lepraria pacifica. RNAcentral's name for it is "SSU rRNA". It matches the Rfam family "Bacterial small subunit ribosomal RNA", at positions 378 to 1197 of the family's 1533-position model. Lineage: Eukaryota; Fungi; Ascomycota; Lecanoromycetes; Lecanorales; Stereocaulaceae. The record is from RNAcentral.
AUAGCUGAUUGCACCAACAAAUAGUUGAUGCAAUAUUGACUCUGUCAAAUAAAAUUCUAGGUAGAAUUAUGAUAAUGACAUUGUCUGCCUAUAUGUCUUGACCAAAUUACGUGCCAGCAGUCGCGGUAAUACGUAGAAGACUAGUGUUAUUCAUCUUUAAUAGGUUUAAAGGGUACCUAGACGGUAAAUCAAGCCUUCACAGGGACUAAUUUACUAGAGUUACUUACGAGGGGGUAUUAAAGUACUGCAGGUGUAGAGAUGAAAUUCUGUCAUACCUCUUUUCAAAAGAAAAAUUAUGGCACAGGUAUAGGUGAAAGCAUCCCCUUAUGUGAUAACUGACGUUGAAGGACGAAGGCUUUGUGUCGCGAACAGGAUUAGAUACCCCAGUAGUCAAAGCAGAAAAUGAUGAAUGUCAUAGAUUAGAUAAAUAGUUUAUUCUAUAAAUGAAAAUGUAAGCAUUCCACCUCAAGAGUAAUUUGGCAACAUUGGAACUGAAAUCAUUAGACCGUUUCUGAAACCAGUAGUGAAGUAUGUUGUUUAAUUUGAUGAUCCGCAAAAAACCUUACCACAAUUUGAAUAUUUAUAUCCAUCUUUUUUUUUCGUAAAAAAAUAAAAAGGUAAUAUAUUUACAAGCGUUGCACGGCUGUCUUCAGUUAAUGUCGCGAGACUUUGGUUAGUUCCAUUAAAUUAACGUAAACCCUUACUUUAUUUUUAUAUGAAGUAGUUCCCCGCUAUAUUGGAUAUGAUAACAGGGACUAAGACAAGUCAUCAUG